AUAGGCUGUUUACUUGUAGGACA
Molecule: non-coding RNA, 23 nt
Filed under: Arabidopsis thaliana (thale cress)
Lineage: Eukaryota; Viridiplantae; Streptophyta; Magnoliopsida; Brassicales; Brassicaceae
Source: RNAcentral